GAAAUGCGAUAAGUAAUGUGAAUUGCAGAAUUCAGUGAAUCAUCGAAUCUUUGAACGCACAUUGCGCUCGCCAGUAUUCUGGCGAGCAUGCCUGUUCGAGCGUCAUUUCAACCAUCAAGCUCUGCUUGCGUUGGGGAUCCGCGGCUGCCCGCGGUCCCUCAAAAACAGUGGCGGGCUCGCUAGUCACACCGAGCGUAGUAACUCUACAUCGCUAUGGUCGUGCGGCGGGUUCUUGCCGUAAAACCCCCAAUUUCUAAGGUUGACCUCGGAUCAGGUAUGAAUACCCGCUGAACUUAAGC
RNAcentral lists this unclassified non-coding RNA (299 nucleotides) under plant metagenome. RNAcentral describes it as "partial contains 5.8S ribosomal RNA, internal transcribed spacer 2, and large subunit ribosomal RNA". The stretch from base 1 to 105 matches the Rfam family "5.8S ribosomal RNA", at positions 50 to 154 of the family's 154-position model. The record is from RNAcentral.